RNAcentral lists this long non-coding RNA (708 nucleotides) under Gallus gallus (chicken). The record is from RNAcentral. Lineage: Eukaryota; Metazoa; Chordata; Aves; Galliformes; Phasianidae.
CAGGCCGGGACUGACAGGAGCGCGUGCAGAGGUCAUCGUUGCUCCCGUGCACGACCCAACGGCUCCACUCGCGGUCCCCCACGUAGAGCAUCACCGUUCGCAGCGCGUUGUUGCCGUAAUUGAAGUACAGCCGCAUCCCGGCCAGCGCCAGCAGCCCUCCGUCCCCGCACUCCCACCGCUGCAGCCCUCCGUCCUCCCGGCACGGCCUCAACUCCACGACGGACAGAUUCCUCCCCGCCGCCGCCGUGACGCACCGCCGCCGCUCCGCGUUCCACAGCCGCUUCCCCGGCAGCCACUGGAAGCGUUGCGCGGCCGCUUCGGGACGGCACGGGGCCGCCGUCAGCUGCUGCCCCCGCGCCUCCACGCACAUAUUGUGAGCUCUGUUGUACAGCAGGAAGGAGCGGGACGCUGCGGGGGAGGCGACGGGAGAGGAGGAACACGUUGAGCAGCACCGAGACCCCCAGGGCCACGGCGCCCACCAGCAGCAGCCUGUCCUGGGGGCAGCUCUGCCGUGCCGGGGACACUGAGGGAGGUGACAGUGGGUCCUGAUGGGGGCCGCAGGACCCCAAUUUGGGCUGCAUUGCCACGUCCCUAUGGGACACCCACGCCGUACCUGGGGGGUCAGGGCUGGGCUGGAGGUGACGCUGACGGUGACGGUCCACAAUGCGGGGACAGGAAGGACUGGGGGACACCCAUAAUGGCAUCUGG